UACGGAGGGUGCGAGCGUUGUUCGGAAUCACUGGGCGUAAAGGGCGUGUAGGCGGUCCGCUAAGUCUGAUGUGAAAGCCCGGGGCUCACCCCCGGAAGUGCAUUGGAAACUGGCGGACUCGAGUCCCGGAGAGGAGAGUGGAAUUCCUGGUGUAGCGGUGAAAUGCGCAGAUAUCGGGAAGAACACCCGUGGCGAAGGCGGCUCUCUGGGACGGUACCGACGCUGAGACGCGAAAGCGUGGGGAGCGAACAGG
This 253-nucleotide ribosomal RNA is filed under the name uncultured bacterium. Its description in RNAcentral is "partial 16S ribosomal RNA". It matches the Rfam family "Bacterial small subunit ribosomal RNA", at positions 524 to 776 of the family's 1533-position model. The record is from RNAcentral.